This 274-nucleotide ribosomal RNA is filed under the name uncultured bacterium. RNAcentral's name for it is "partial 16S ribosomal RNA". It matches the Rfam family "Bacterial small subunit ribosomal RNA", at positions 523 to 796 of the family's 1533-position model. The record is from RNAcentral.
AUACGGAGGGUCCAAGCGUUAUCCGGAUUCAUUGGGUUUAAAGGGUCCGCAGGCGGGAAAAUAAGUCAGUGGUGAAAGCCUACAGCUCAACUGUAGAACUGCCAUUGAAACUGUUUUUCUUGAGUAUAGAUGAAGUGGGCGGAAUACAUCAUGUAGCGGUGAAAUGCAUGGAUAUGAUAUAGAACACCGAUUGCGAAGGCAGCUCACUAAACUAUUACUGACGCUCAGGGACGAAAGCGUGGGGAGCGAACAGGAUUAGAAACCCCAGUAGUCC